Molecule: long non-coding RNA, 880 nt
Filed under: Olea europaea subsp. europaea
Lineage: Eukaryota; Viridiplantae; Streptophyta; Magnoliopsida; Lamiales; Oleaceae
Source: RNAcentral
CUGACAGGCUCUUAAUAUUCACAAGUUCAAUGUUCAGAUGCAUGUAAAGGGUUAGCCUCUUUAAAAUUUAACUAAAUCAUACCCGAGAUGAAAAUUGGGAUACAGUCAAAUCAACUCAACUUGAGCACGCUUAAAAUGAAAAUACAUAGUAGUCUCUUGUGUUUAGGAAUGACAAUUAAGCUUGUCGACUCGAGCUGCCAAUGGCUCGGCUUAGCUUGAGGCUCAGGGCGCGUCUCGGGGUAUCAGGCCGAGCCCUAGCUGGCCCGUGUGAUUUCCCAGCUUGGGUUCACAGGCCUAAAAAAAAAAAAAAUCCAACACGCAGCGUGCUGCUGCUUUUUUAAGGUGACACUUGCAAUGUGUUGCCUUUUUUACGUAGCAUAAUAUUAUAAUAAUAAAAGGAUCUCGGCUCGGUAAGGCCCUGAGUUGGAAGCUUGGGCUGAGCCUUGAUUUCUUGGCCGAGCGAAAGUUCGACUUGAGCUCGCAAAAAAGUUCGGAACAUUUUACUCGAGUCGAACUCGAACCUAAUGAUAUACAAAUACCAUUUGGUAUUGGUUGAUGUACCUGCACAAAAACAAAAGAUUUAAAGAAAAUGACACCGACAGUGAAAUAUCACAGGAAGGAUUUAAAGUGAUUUUGAAAUUUCAAGUUCUUUGAAUUUGACAAUUGAAUCAAAACAGAAGGCAGGGUCCACACGCAAAUGUCCAGACCUACCUAACAUAUCGGGCAUGUGCUAGGCGCGCGCCAUCGGCUCUUCUUCGUAUUCACCUAACGUUAGAUGAACCUCUGUAGUUAGGUUUCAAUAAUUUGGGUAUUAUUAUAAAUCUGUGAAUAAUUAGUUGCAGAGAUUCACUUUCAAUGCAUUUGGAAAGUAUUUAUUUAU